CACUUUUAGUUUAUAUAAGAAUGGCGGUCUUGUAAGCCGCAGGGGCAGGUGGAUCUGCAGGGUGAUU
RNAcentral lists this transfer RNA (67 nucleotides) under Argopecten purpuratus. RNAcentral's name for it is "tRNA-Thr". Lineage: Eukaryota; Metazoa; Mollusca; Bivalvia; Pectinida; Pectinidae. The record is from RNAcentral.